This 492-nucleotide ribosomal RNA is filed under the name uncultured bacterium. Its description in RNAcentral is "partial 16S ribosomal RNA". It matches the Rfam family "Bacterial small subunit ribosomal RNA", at positions 29 to 507 of the family's 1533-position model. The record is from RNAcentral.
AGUGAACGCUGGCGGUAGGCCUAACACAUGCAAGUCGAACGGCAGCACAGUAAGAGCUUGCUCUUACGGGUGGCGAGUGGCGGACGGGUGAGGAAUACAUCGGAAUCUACUUUUUCGUGGGGGAUAACGUAGGGAAACUUACGCUAAUACCGCAUACGACCUACGGGUGAAAGCAGGAGAUCUUCGGACCUUGCGCGAUUGAAUGAGCCGAUGUCGGAUUAGCUAGUUGGCGGGGUAAAGGCCCACCAAGGCGACGAUCCGUAGCUGGUCUGAGAGGAUGAUCAGCCACACUGGAACUGAGACACGGUCCAGACUCCUACGGGAGGCAGCAGUGGGGAAUAUUGGACAAAGGGCGCAAGCCUGAUCCAGCCAUACCGCGUGGGUGAAGAAGGCCUUCGGGUUGUAAAGCCCUUUUGUUGGGAAAGAAAAGCAGCAGGUUAAUACCCCGCUGUUCUGACGGUACCCGAAGAAUAAGCACCGGCUAACUUCGUG